GUCCUAUCUGACUCCUGUACAGGAUAAGGAAGCAGAGUUUUAAGGACAGCACGCUCCAGACAAGCUCGGCAGACACGAAGGUCUACUCAAGGUGUCACCCUAGCAGACCUUCAAGAAGCAGAAAGGACAUUCAGCCAGUCGAGGGCAGAGAGGCAAGCUCAGGAGCAGCCUCGUGAGAAGCCUACAGACACUGAAGGGCUUGAGGGGAGCCCUGAGAAGCAUGAGACCUAAGCAGUUCCUGCAACAGAAGCUGGGGAGGGCCAGCAGCCCUGGGGCAGGAGUCUGGAUGAAGAGCCUAUCUGUCAUCACCUGAGGUGCCCAGCUCAGCCAGACAAACCCACCACGCCAGCAUCUCCUUCUACAUCAAGACCCUCACUCUACACCAGUUCCCACCUGCUAUGGACAAAUAGAUUUUCAGUCCCUGAUUCUGAGAGUUCAAAGACUACCACAAACACUACAACUGCAAAGGAAAUGGACAAAAAUGAGAAUGAAGAAGCAGAUUUGGAUGAGCAGUCCUCUAAGAGGCUGUCUGUCCAAGAGAGGAGGUGGCCCAAGGAACGAUGAAGAGGCACAGACAUCAAUUUCUGGUCAAAGGAUGAGGAUGAAACUGAUGGCUCUGAAGAGGUCAAAGAAACAUGG
RNAcentral lists this long non-coding RNA (639 nucleotides) under Homo sapiens (human). Its description in RNAcentral is "non-protein coding lnc-DAZ2-1:1". Lineage: Eukaryota; Metazoa; Chordata; Mammalia; Primates; Hominidae. The record is from RNAcentral.